CCAAUAGCGUAUAUUAAAGUUGUUGCAGUUAAAAAGCUCGUAGUUGAAUUUCGGGAUUGGCGCAUCGGUCGUGCCUCACGGGGUAUGGACUGGUGCAGUCAAUUUCUCACCUUCUGGAGAACCGCGAUGUCCUUAAUUGGGUGCCGCGGGGAACCAGGACCUUUACUUUGAAAAAAUUAGAGUGUUUAAAGCAGGCAUUUUUGCUUGAAUACAUUAGCAUGGAAUAAUAAAAUAGGACGGCAUGGUUCUAUUUUGUUGGUUUCUAGGACCACCGUAAUGAUUAAUAGGGAUAGUUGGGGGCAUUAGUAUUCAAUUGUCAGAGGUGAAAUUCUUGGAUUUAUUGAAGACUAACUACUGCGAAAGCAUUUGCCAAGGAUGUUUUCAUUAAUCAAGAACGAAAGUUAGGGGAUCGAAGACGAUCAGAUACCGUCGUAGUCUUAACCAUAAACUAUUCCGACUAGGAAUCAGACGAUGUUAAUUUUUUAAUGACUCGUUUGGCACCUUACG
RNAcentral lists this ribosomal RNA (507 nucleotides) under uncultured Glomeromycotina. RNAcentral describes it as "partial small subunit ribosomal RNA". It matches the Rfam family "Eukaryotic small subunit ribosomal RNA", at positions 591 to 1092 of the family's 1831-position model. The record is from RNAcentral. Lineage: Eukaryota; Fungi; Glomeromycota.